This 117-nucleotide non-coding RNA is filed under the name Sporolactobacillus inulinus. RNAcentral's name for it is "SAM-I sequence". It matches the Rfam family "SAM riboswitch aptamer (S box leader)". Rfam says of the family: The SAM riboswitch is found upstream of a number of genes which code for proteins involved in methionine or cysteine biosynthesis in Gram-positive bacteria. Lineage: Bacteria; Bacillati; Bacillota; Bacilli; Caryophanales; Sporolactobacillaceae. The record is from Rfam by way of RNAcentral. RNAcentral also lists the same sequence under 1 other name.
GAUCUAUCCAGAGUGAUGGAGGGACUGGCCCGAUGACAUCCGGCAACCUGCACAGAUUCGUUUUCUCUGUAAGGUGCUAAUUCCAGCAAAAUGGUCAACCAUUUUGAAAGAUAGGAA